GGCGCACCUGUCUUAGUUACUAACAGUUAGGCUGAGCACUCUAGAGAGACUGCCGGUGAUAAACCGGAGGAAGGUGGGGAUGACGUCAAGUCAUCAUGGCCCUUAUGGGCAGGGCUACACACGUGCUACAAUGGGCGGUACAAAGGGUUGCCAACCCGGAGGGGGAGCUAAUCCCACAAAGCCGUUCGUAGUNGCAGUCUGCAACUCGACUGCAUGAAGUCGGAAUCGCUAGUAAUCGCAGAUCAGCAGUGCUG
Molecule: ribosomal RNA, 254 nt
Filed under: uncultured bacterium
Lineage: Bacteria
Description: partial 16S ribosomal RNA
Rfam family: Bacterial small subunit ribosomal RNA
Source: RNAcentral